UUUUUAGUGGUUUGAGUAGUGUUGGUAUCAGUUUAAUAAUGAAGACAUUCUAUGAGAAGAACAUAAAACAAGCAAUCACCUUCAUCAGACAAAUGGGUGCUAAUGUACAAAAUUCCAUUAGAUAUUUAUUCCAAAAUACUUUUCAAAAACAAUUACGAGACACUCUGUGUUUUGUAGGCAGAGCUAAAGACUGAGAACGGCUGGUUGACCUCCAUAGAACAAGAUGCUCUUGAGAUUUUAAAAAUGUUGGAGAUGUACUAUCCAAUCUAUGUUUAUGAGACUGCAAAGAUGAUUUAUAACAGCUCCAGUGACCACUGGUACCAUCCACCAGUGACCACACUAUCAGCACAGGGAAUGUACUGGACAUGUACCUGGAGACAUUUGGAGGAUGGUUUAAUGGACAGGAUUGUAUUAUCAUCAAAAUCAGGUGACAUGUCAUGCUAUGUUGCUAGAGUUUUUAAAGAGGAUUAACUCCACUGAAGAGUAUCAUUCAACUUGAUCCUUACCUGCAUCACAUGAGUGGGUGUGUAUCAGGGGCUGGUGGUGUUGUAAGUGAUGGAGAAAAAACUGAUAAUGACUACUGAGAGUGAAUAAGAAGAAGCUAAACCAGUCACUGUAUGCUCUAUCUCCUUUUGCUCUGAUCUUUUAUGUUCCUCCUCUGUCUCCUCAUUCCCCUCUAUCUCUUUCCCCCUCUCUCCCUCUCCUCUCUCUCUCAUUUCAGGUAAUGUUUGGUAUUAGUCGUUCAUAAUUAAUCAUUUAUUGUCACUAAUCAUUUAUCAUCACUUAUUAUCCUACUCUAA
Molecule: RNA transcript, 800 nt
Organism: Amphimedon queenslandica
Lineage: Eukaryota; Metazoa; Porifera; Demospongiae; Haplosclerida; Niphatidae
Exons: 5
Source: RefSeq, a predicted model, not a curated record